AUGAACGCUGGCGGCGUGCCUAAUACAUGCAAGUCGCGCGAACGGACGAGAAGCUUGCUUUUCUGAUGUUAGCGGCGGACGGGUGAGUAACACGUGGAUAACCUACCUAUAAGACUGGGAUAACUUCGGGAAACCGGAGCUAAUACCGGAUAAUAUUUUGAACCGCAUGGUUCAAAAGUGAAAGACGGUCUUGCUGUCACUUAUAGAUGGAUCCGCGCUGCAUUAGCUAGUUGGUAAGGUAACGGCUUACCAAGGCAGCGAUGCAUAGCCGACCUGAGAGGGUGAUCGGCCACACUGGAACUGAGACACGGUCCAGACUCCUACGGGAGGCAGCAGUAGGGAAUCUUCCGCAAUGGGCGAAAGCCUGACGGAGCAACGCCGCGUGAGUGAUGAAGGUCUUCGGAUCGUAAAACUCUGUUAUUAGGGAAGAACAUAUGUGUAAGUAACUGUGCACAUCUUGACGGUACCUAAUCAGAAAGCCACGGCUAACUACGUG
Molecule: ribosomal RNA, 496 nt
Filed under: uncultured bacterium
Lineage: Bacteria
Description: partial 16S ribosomal RNA
Rfam family: Bacterial small subunit ribosomal RNA
Source: RNAcentral